This 254-nucleotide ribosomal RNA is filed under the name uncultured Lamproderma sp. RNAcentral describes it as "partial 18S ribosomal RNA". It matches the Rfam family "Eukaryotic small subunit ribosomal RNA", at positions 28 to 259 of the family's 1831-position model. Lineage: Eukaryota; Evosea; Eumycetozoa; Stemonitida. The record is from RNAcentral.
AUGCUUUUCCUAAAGAUUAAGCCAUGCAUGCCUUCGAAUAAGAGGAAGCAAUUCUCUCUGAAUCUGCGAACGGCUCCGCAAACCAGUUGUAAACCACAGCAAGCCCGCAAGGGUGGGCCUCGGCUCGCCUGCGCGAUACGGAUAACCCUGGUAAUUCUAAGGCUAAUACGUGUAUGGAACACCCGGUGGGCCGGCCUUUGUGCUGGGAAACCGGGAGGCGAGGGAUUGAAUGUUUGGAUUACCAGGAACGGGCG